RNAcentral lists this ribosomal RNA (510 nucleotides) under uncultured bacterium. Its description in RNAcentral is "bacterial SSU rRNA". It matches the Rfam family "Bacterial small subunit ribosomal RNA", at positions 30 to 524 of the family's 1533-position model. The record is from RNAcentral.
AGCGAACGUUAGCGGCGGGCUUAACACAUGCAAGUCGAGCGAGAAAGGGGCUUUGGCCCUGAGUACAGCGGCGGACGGGUGAAUAACACGUAGGUAACCUUCCUUCCAGCGGGGGACAACGGUCCGAAAGGACCGCUAAUACCGCAUACGUUCCCUGGGACCCUGGUCCCGGGGAGGAAAGCUCCGCAAGGGGCACUGGAUGAGGGGCCUGCGUAGCAUCAGCUAGUUGGUGGGGUAAUGGCCUACCAAGGCUAAGACGCUUAGCUGGUCUGAGAGGAUGAUCAGCCACACUGGGACUGAGACACGGCCCAGACUCCUACGGGAGGCAGCAGUGGGGAAUAUUGGACAAUGGGCGCAAGCCUGAUCCAGCCACGCCGCGUGAGUGAUGAAGGCCUCGGGUCGUAAGACUCUGUGGGAGGGACGGAAGUAGGCGCCGUCGGAAGAGACGGCGAGUGACGGUACGUCCUUAGUCAAGCACCGGUAACUUACGUGUCCAGCAGCCGCGGUAAC